Molecule: ribosomal RNA, 510 nt
Filed under: uncultured Diversisporaceae
Lineage: Eukaryota; Fungi; Glomeromycota; Glomeromycetes; Diversisporales
Description: SSU rRNA
Rfam family: Eukaryotic small subunit ribosomal RNA
Source: RNAcentral
AGCAGCCGCGGUAAUUCCAGCUCCAAUAGCGUAUAUUAAAGUUGUUGCAGUUAAAAAGCUCGUAGUUGAACCUCGGGGUCUACCCAUUGGUCAGGCUUAAUUGUCUGCACUGGUGAGAUGGAUCUCUACCUUCUGAGGAACUUUCAUGCCAUUUAUUUGGUGUGAUGGGAAAUCAGGACUGUUACUUUGAAAAAAUUAGAGUGUUUAAAGCAGACUAUCGUCUGAAUACAUUAGCAUGGAAUAAUGAAAUAGGACGGACUGAUUCUAUUUCGUUGGUUUCUAGGAUCACCGUAAUGAUUAAUAGGGAUAGUUGGGGGCAUUAGUAUUCAAUUGUCAGAGGUGAAAUUCUUGGAUUUAUUGAAGACUAACUACUGCGAAAGCAUUUGCCAAGGAUGUUUUCAUUAAUCAAGAACGAAAGUUAGGGGAUCGAAGACGAUCAGAUACCGUCGUAGUCUUAACCAUAAACUAUGCCGACUAGGGAUCGGAUGAUGUUAAUUUUUUAAUGACUCG